RNAcentral lists this ribosomal RNA (495 nucleotides) under uncultured bacterium. Its description in RNAcentral is "partial 16S ribosomal RNA". It matches the Rfam family "Bacterial small subunit ribosomal RNA", at positions 30 to 507 of the family's 1533-position model. The record is from RNAcentral.
UGAACGCUGGCGGCGUGCCUAAUACAUGCAAGUCGAGCGCACAGACGCGGAGCUUGCUCCUCUGACGUUAGCGGCGGACGGGUGAGUAACACGUGGAUAACCUACCUAUAAGACUGGGAUAACUUCGGGGAACCGGAGCUAAUACCGGAUAAUAUAUUGAACCGCAUGGUUCAAUAGUGAAAGACGGUUUUGCUGUCACUUAUAGAUGGAUCCGCGCCGCAUUAGCUAGUUGGUAAGGUAACGGCUUACCAAGGCGACGAUGCGUAGCCGACCUGAGAGGGUGAUCGGCCACACUGGAACUGAGACACGGUCCAGACUCCUACGGGAGGCAGCAGUAGGGAAUCUUCCGCAAUGGGCGAAAGCCUGACGGAGCAACGCCGCGUGAGUGAUGAAGGUCUUCGGAUCGUAAAACUCUGUUAUUAGGGAAGAACAAAUGUGUAAGUAACUAUGCACGUCUUGACGGUACCUAAUCAGAAAGCCACGGCUAACUACGUG